This 427-nucleotide ribosomal RNA is filed under the name uncultured bacterium. RNAcentral's name for it is "bacterial SSU rRNA". It matches the Rfam family "Bacterial small subunit ribosomal RNA", at positions 355 to 774 of the family's 1533-position model. The record is from RNAcentral.
UGAGGAAUAUUGCGCAAUGGGCGAAAGCCUGACGCAGCGACGCCGCGUGGAGGAUGAAGGUCUUAGGAUUGUAAACUUCUGUUAAGUGGGAAGAAAUUACCGAGAGUAAUAUGCUCGGGAGAUGACAGUACCAUUAGAGAAAGCACCGGCUAACUUCGUGCCAGCAGCCGCGGUAAUACGAAGGGUGCAAGCGUUAUUCGGAUUUAUUGGGCGUAAAGGGUGCGUAGGCGGCGUAUUAAGUCAAUUGUUAAAUUCUUCGGCCUAACCGAAGGUCAGCAGUAGAUACUGGUAUGCUAGAGGAUGGAAGAGAGAAGUGGAAUUCUUGGAGUAGCGGUAAAAUGCGUAGAUCUCAAGAGGAACACCGAUGGCGAAGGCAGCUUCUUGGUCCAUAUCUGACGCUCAAGCACGAAAGCGUGGGGAGCAAACA